This 519-nucleotide ribosomal RNA is filed under the name Plethodon chlorobryonis (Atlantic coast slimy salamander). RNAcentral's name for it is "partial 16S ribosomal RNA". It matches the Rfam family "Bacterial large subunit ribosomal RNA", at positions 1816 to 2597 of the family's 2925-position model. The record is from RNAcentral. Lineage: Eukaryota; Metazoa; Chordata; Amphibia; Caudata; Plethodontidae.
CGCCUCCUGCUAAACAAAUAUAAGAGGUACUGCCUGCCCGGUGACACCUGUUUAACGGCCGCGGUAUUAUGACCGUGCAAAGGUAGCAUAAUCACUUGUCUCUUAAAUAGAGGCCUGUAUGAAUGGCAAAACGAAAACCCAACUGUCUCAUCAAAUUAAUCUAUGAAAUUGAUAUUCCCGUGCAAAAGCGGAAAUAAUUAUAUAAGACGAGAAGACCCUACGGAGCUUAAAACCUAAAUUAAUAAUUAAAUAAUAUAAUCCACGGCUUUAGGUUGGGGCGACCACGGAGGAUAAUAAAGCCCCCGAGACAUAUAAUUAAGAAAGACAAUUCAAAAUAACACUAUAAUUGAUGUAAUUGACCCAAUAAUUGAUCAACGAACCAAGUUACCCUAGGGAUAACAGCGCAAUCCUCUCAUAGAGUCCAUAUCGACGAGCGGGUUUACGACCUCGAUGUUGGAUCAAGACUACCAAAUGGCGCAGCAGCUAUUAAAGGUUCGUUUGUUCAACGAUUAAAGUCCU